This 657-nucleotide long non-coding RNA is filed under the name Ananas comosus (pineapple). RNAcentral's name for it is "long non-coding RNA (ACOM_LNC021828)". Lineage: Eukaryota; Viridiplantae; Streptophyta; Magnoliopsida; Poales; Bromeliaceae. The record is from RNAcentral.
GAGAGAGAGAGAGAGAGAGAGUGUGAGGCUACUAUAUUUCUGAAAGCAUAGAGCCUUUGUGCUUCUAGAUCUUUUUUGAUGUUGCGAUUUUCGAAUUGUCGAUCGGUUCUGUUAAACUUGAUCUAGAGUAUUUGAAGUACUUAGAAAAUAAAUUUUAUGAUUUUUUGAUAUCAUUUGCCUAGUGAUCGAAGGGACUCAAAAUCAAUAAUUUUAAUGACCGUGGUGAGCCGUUUGCAAGUUUAACGGUGUAGAAAUAUCCAAAUCACGUAAAAUUUUGAUAGAAAAUUCUUUAUACUAUAUAAAACAAGAUCAAUAUCUUUGAUCUAAAAUUUUAAUGUCAUAUUAUCACGUUUUGUAAGAUUUUUAUUUCUGCCGUUGAUUUUGAGCCCCUUAGUUCACUAGGCAAAUGAUAUCGAAAAAUUGUAAAAUUUAUUUUCUAGAUACUUCAAAUACUCUAGAUCAAGUUUAACGGAGCCGAUCGACGAUUCGAAAGUCGCAACAUCAAAAACGACCUGGAAGCACGGAAGACUUCGUGCUUCCAGAAGCAUAGUAGUCUCACUCAUCUAUAUAUAUAUAUACAUAUAUUAAAACUCUUACAUAGAAUUCAACUAAAAUACUAUUAGUAGCAAAAAAAAAAAAUAUUUAUUAUCAAUCUUU